RNAcentral lists this ribosomal RNA (303 nucleotides) under Quamtana sp. CAS5. Its description in RNAcentral is "partial 12S ribosomal RNA". The record is from RNAcentral. Lineage: Eukaryota; Metazoa; Arthropoda; Arachnida; Araneae; Pholcidae.
GGUAAUAAAAUUAAAACCAUUAUGUACUGGCGGUCCCAAUAUUAUAGAGAAACUCGCUUCAUAAUCGUAAAUACUCGAUAAUUUUAACUUUAUUCCCAUAUACGUUUAUAUACCGCCGUCUAAGAAAACAAUAAACAUAGCAAUUCCAUAAUCUCAAAAAUUAGAUAAAAAUUAGGUCAAGGUGUAGCUUAUAAUAAAGUAGAAGUAAGUUACAAUAAAAAUAAUUUAAGGAAAAAAAAUAAAAAUUACCUCAAAAAAGAAUUUAUAUACACAUAAGGACUAAAAUUCCUAAUAUAAUAAUUC